GACGAACCGUGCGAACGUUGUUCGGAAUCACUGGGCUUAAAGGGCGCGUAGGCGGGUGUGCAAGUCUGCGGUGAAAGCCUCCAGCUUAACUGGAGAAGUGCCGUGGAUACUGCAUAUCUUGAGGAGGGUAGGGGCAUCUGGAACAUUGGGUGGAGCGGUGAAAUGCGUUGAUAUCCAAUGGAACUCCGGUGGCGAAGGCGAGGUGCUGGACCCUUUCUGACGCUGAGGCGCGAAAGCCAGGGGAGCGAACGGG
Molecule: ribosomal RNA, 253 nt
Filed under: uncultured bacterium
Lineage: Bacteria
Description: partial 16S ribosomal RNA
Rfam family: Bacterial small subunit ribosomal RNA
Source: RNAcentral